Sarcophilus harrisii (Tasmanian devil) is the source of this 1016-nucleotide long non-coding RNA. RefSeq lists it as uncharacterized. The transcript has 3 exons. The record is from RefSeq and is a predicted model, not a curated record. Lineage: Eukaryota; Metazoa; Chordata; Mammalia; Dasyuromorphia; Dasyuridae.
ACUCAAGGACAUACUUUACUACCUCAAAAGCUCCCAGCACUCUAAUAUUAGUUCUAGAAUUUAGGCUAUUCACUCAUGUGUCAAAAAUAGCUUCUCUAUCACAAUUGAAGGAUAGAGUAUUCAGAAGUGACAGAAGGCGACAUUUGAAGUCCCUUGACCAUCCAGCUAGUGACCACACUCACUAAUGGAUGGUGCCCCAAGAAUAAUGAAUGAGAGCAUUACCUCUAAAGUAGAAUGAAAAAGAAGUGACAGAAAAUAAGUAAAAACAUUGAAGUUUAUUUAAUGAACAUUUCAUUCUGUGUAUAAUGUACUUUAUUUUAUCUUGUGUGAUUAUAUGUUCUUGGGUAGCACAGGUCAGGUAUAAAUUCUUUUGGAUGGGAAGAAUUCAAUAUGGAGUAAAAUAGUUGAGAUAUUUUUUCCUUUUUCUUUCCUUUAUGAGGCCAUGUCCAGCAAGAUGUCUCCAUGAAGCACUUUUCUAACUCUCUCUUUUUUGGCCACUCUUUCUUCCUAUGAGCUCCCUCUUGCUGAGCAAUCUCCACAGUAUGGCCACUAUCAAUGAAACUAAUUAUACCAACUUUACCCCACCUCCAAUAAAUGUGGCUAAAGCUGUUUGUUUUUGUUAUGUGCUGUUUGUCCUCUUCAAUUUUAGGAACUCAAGUUGAGUCUCCAAAGAAUGCAAGAUUUCAAGUCAUGAAGACAUUAAAACUAAGAUUGCUGGAAAAAUAGUACAGUCAGUCAGCCAAGAAUGGAAGCCUUAAGAAGCCAAAGUACAUGGGAUUCAAGCUUAAGCAAGGUUUUGGACUAGGAAUUGGGACUAUGCUCCAUAGAAACUGAGUUAAGAGCCUCACAGACACUGAGCUAGCUCUGGCAAUAUGUGUGCCAAACUUGUUGUGUAUGUAUACAUCCUUGGAAAGCAUAUUGCCAAGAGACAAUAUAUUUCACUUGGAGGAAACAUCACCUACAAUACAAAGUAAAUACAAAACAUUAAGUAAGUAAAAAAUUAUGGGGGUGGGGAG